This 61-nucleotide transfer RNA is filed under the name Heterocephalus glaber (naked mole-rat). It matches the Rfam family "tRNA", at positions 6 to 65 of the family's 71-position model. Rfam says of the family: Transfer RNA (tRNA) molecules are approximately 80 nucleotides in length. Their secondary structure includes four short double-helical elements and three loops (D, anti-codon, and T loops). Lineage: Eukaryota; Metazoa; Chordata; Mammalia; Rodentia; Bathyergidae. The record is from Rfam by way of RNAcentral.
UGUAGCUCAGUAGUACAGCAUUUGCCUAGCAUGCACAAGGUCCUGGGUUCAAUCCCCAGUA